GGGGCUGUAGUCUAACCUGGCAGGGCAGCUGGCUCCAGACCAGCUAAUCGGGGUUCAAAUCCUCGCAGCCCCA
RNAcentral lists this transfer RNA (73 nucleotides) under archaeon CG06_land_8_20_14_3_00_37_11. Its description in RNAcentral is "tRNA-Trp". It matches the Rfam family "tRNA". From Rfam's summary of the family: Transfer RNA (tRNA) molecules are approximately 80 nucleotides in length. Their secondary structure includes four short double-helical elements and three loops (D, anti-codon, and T loops). The record is from RNAcentral.